RNAcentral lists this ribosomal RNA (460 nucleotides) under uncultured bacterium. RNAcentral's name for it is "partial 16S ribosomal RNA". It matches the Rfam family "Bacterial small subunit ribosomal RNA", at positions 338 to 795 of the family's 1533-position model. The record is from RNAcentral.
CCUACGGGCGGCAGCAGUGAGGAAUAUUGGUCAAUGGGCGCGAGCCUGAACCAGCCAAGUCGCGUGAGGGAUGAAGGUCCUAUGGGUUGUAAACCUCUUUUAUAAGGGAAUAAAGUGUGGCACGUGUGCUUUUUUGUAUGUACCUUAUGAAUAAGGAUCGGCUAACUCCGUGCCAGCAGCCGCGGUAAUACGGAGGAUCCGAGCGUUAUCCGGAUUUAUUGGGUUUAAAGGGUGCGUAGGUGGGCUGUUAAGUCAGUUGUGAAAGUUUGUGGCUCAACCGUAUAAUUGCCAUUGAAACUGGCAGUCUUGAGUAUAGUUGAGGUAGGCGGAAUGCGUGGUGUAGCGGUGAAAUGCUUAGAUAUCACGCAGAACCCCGAUUGCGAAGGCAGCAUGCCAAGCUAUGACUGACGCUGAUGCACGAAAGCGUGGGGAUCAAACAGGAUUAGAUACCCCAGUAGUC